RNAcentral lists this ribosomal RNA (2928 nucleotides) under Klebsiella sp. M5al. RNAcentral's name for it is "bacterial LSU rRNA". It matches the Rfam family "Bacterial large subunit ribosomal RNA". Lineage: Bacteria; Pseudomonadati; Pseudomonadota; Gammaproteobacteria; Enterobacterales; Enterobacteriaceae. The record is from RNAcentral.
GGGUUGUGAGGUUAAGCGACUAAGCGUACACGGUGGAUGCCCUGGCAGUCAGAGGCGAUGAAGGACGUGCUAAUCUGCGAAAAGCGUCGGUAAGGUGAUAUGAACCGUUAUAGCCGGCGAUGUCCGAAUGGGGAAACCCAGUGCAAUUCGUUGCACUAUCGUUUGAUGAAUACAUAGUCAAACGAGGCGAACCGGGGGAACUGAAACAUCUAAGUACCCCGAGGAAAAGAAAUCAACCGAGAUUCCCCCAGUAGCGGUGAGCGAACGGGGAGCAGCCCGGAGUCUGAAUCAGCUUGUGUGUUAGUGGAAGCGUCUGGAAAGUCGCAGGGUACAGGGUGAUACUCCCGUACACUAAAACACACAGGCUGUGAACUCGAAGAGUAGGGCGGGACACGUGGUAUCCUGUCUGAAUAUGGGGGGACCAUCCUCCAAGGCUAAAUACUCCUGACUGACCGAUAGUGAACCAGUACCGUGAGGGAAAGGCGAAAAGAACCCCGGCGAGGGGAGUGAAAAAGAACCUGAAACCGUGUACGUACAAGCAGUAGGAGCCUCUUUAUGGGGUGACUGCGUACCUUUUGUAUAAUGGGUCAGCGACUUAUAUUCUGUAGCAAGGUUAACCGUAUAGGGGAGCCGCAGGGAAACCGAGUCUUAACUGGGCGUUAAGUUGCAGGGUAUAGACCCGAAACCCGGUGAUCUAGCCAUGGGCAGGUUGAAGGUUGGGUAACACUAACUGGAGGACCGAACCGACUAAUGUUGAAAAAUUAGCGGAUGACUUGUGGCUGGGGGUGAAAGGCCAAUCAAACCGGGAGAUAGCUGGUUCUCCCCGAAAGCUAUUUAGGUAGCGCCUCGUGAACUCAUCUUCGGGGGUAGAGCACUGUUUCGGCUAGGGGGUCAUCCCGACUUACCAACCCGAUGCAAACUACGAAUACCGAAGAAUGUUAUCACGGGAGACACACGGCGGGUGCUAACGUCCGUCGUGAAGAGGGAAACAACCCAGACCGCCAGCUAAGGUCCCAAAGUCAUGGUUAAGUGGGAAACGAUGUGGGAAGGCCCAGACAGCCAGGAUGUUGGCUUAGAAGCAGCCAUCAUUUAAAGAAAGCGUAAUAGCUCACUGGUCGAGUCGGCCUGCGCGGAAGAUGUAACGGGGCUAAACCAUGCACCGAAGCUGCGGCAGCGACACUAUGUGUUGUUGGGUAGGGGAGCGUUCUGUAAGCCGUUGAAGGUGGCCUGUGAGGGUUGCUGGAGGUAUCAGAAGUGCGAAUGCUGACAUAAGUAACGAUAAUGCGGGUGAAAAACCCGCACGCCGGAAGACCAAGGGUUCCUGUCCAACGUUAAUCGGGGCAGGGUGAGUCGACCCCUAAGGCGAGGCCGAAAGGCGUAGUCGAUGGGAAACAGGUUAAUAUUCCUGUACUCGGUGUUACUGCGAAGGGGGGACGGAGAAGGCUAUGUUGGCCGGGCGACGGUUGUCCCGGUUUAAGCAUGUAGGCGGAUGUUCCAGGUAAAUCCGGAACGUUAUUAACGCUGAGGUGUGAUGACGAGGCACUACGGUGCUGAAGUGACAAAUGCCCUGCUUCCAGGAAAAGCCUCUAAGCAUCAGGUAACAUCAAAUCGUACCCCAAACCGACACAGGUGGUCAGGUAGAGAAUACCAAGGCGCUUGAGAGAACUCGGGUGAAGGAACUAGGCAAAAUGGUGCCGUAACUUCGGGAGAAGGCACGCUGAUAUGUAGGUGAAGUGGUUUACCCAUGGAGCUGAAAUCAGUCGAAGAUACCAGCUGGCUGCAACUGUUUAUUAAAAACACAGCACUGUGCAAACACGAAAGUGGACGUAUACGGUGUGACGCCUGCCCGGUGCCGGAAGGUUAAUUGAUGGGGUUAUCCGUAAGGAGAAGCUCUUGAUCGAAGCCCCGGUAAACGGCGGCCGUAACUAUAACGGUCCUAAGGUAGCGAAAUUCCUUGUCGGGUAAGUUCCGACCUGCACGAAUGGCGUAAUGAUGGCCAGGCUGUCUCCACCCGAGACUCAGUGAAAUUGAACUCGCUGUGAAGAUGCAGUGUACCCGCGGCAAGACGGAAAGACCCCGUGAACCUUUACUAUAGCUUGACACUGAACACUGGUCCUUGAUGUGUAGGAUAGGUGGGAGGCUUUGAAGUGUGGACGCCAGUCUGCAUGGAGCCAUCCUUGAAAUACCACCCUUUAAUGGCUGGUGUUCUAACGUGGGCCCGUUAUCCGGGUUGCGGACAGUGUCUGGUGGGUAGUUUGACUGGGGCGGUCUCCUCCUAAAGAGUAACGGAGGAGCACGAAGGUCAGCUAAUCCUGGUCGGACAUCAGGAGGUUAGUGCAAUGGCAUAAGCUGGCUUGACUGCGAGCGUGACGGCGCGAGCAGGUGCGAAAGCAGGUCAUAGUGAUCCGGUGGUUCUGAAUGGAAGGGCCAUCGCUCAACGGAUAAAAGGUACUCCGGGGAUAACAGGCUGAUACCGCCCAAGAGUUCAUAUCGACGGCGGUGUUUGGCACCUCGAUGUCGGCUCAUCACAUCCUGGGGCUGAAGUAGGUCCCAAGGGUAUGGCUGUUCGCCAUUUAAAGUGGUACGCGAGCUGGGUUUAGAACGUCGUGAGACAGUUCGGUCCCUAUCUGCCGUGGGCGCUGGAGAAUUGAGGGGGGCUGCUCCUAGUACGAGAGGACCGGAGUGGACGCAUCACUGGUGUUCGGGUUGUCAUGCCAAUGGCAUUGCCCGGUAGCUAAAUGCGGAAGAGAUAAGUGCUGAAAGCAUCUAAGCACGAAACUUGCCCCGAGAUGAGUUCUCCCUGACCCUUUAAGGGUCCUGAAGGAACGUUGAAGACGACGACGUUGAUAGGCCGGGUGUGUAAGCGCAGCGAUGCGUUGAGCUAACCGGUACUAAUGAACCGUGAGGCUUAACCUUACAACGCCGAAG